Molecule: non-coding RNA, 175 nt
Filed under: Fusibacter paucivorans
Lineage: Bacteria; Bacillati; Bacillota; Clostridia; Eubacteriales; Fusibacteraceae
Description: 6S RNA
Rfam family: 6S / SsrS RNA
About the family: E. coli 6S RNA was the first non coding RNA to be sequenced, but its function was unknown until recently. It consists of 184 nucleotides that fold into an extended hairpin structure with a large single-stranded internal bulge. The 6S RNA specifically associates with RNA polymerase holoenzyme containing the sigma70 specificity factor.
Source: RNAcentral
UAACGUCUGAGAUGUUGGUUGUCAUUGUGAAUUCAACCACUGUAUUUUGUUAGGGAGAACGUGUUCUGCUGCGUAUGGCAAGCUUCUACAGGGAGAAGUCAGAAAGAGCAGAUAGUCCACCCACCUGUUGAGGUGUGGUGUGAUAUUUGGGUGACGACGGCAUCUUGGGCAAAUA